AUGACCAAUGAUCACAUAGGCUACCUUCAAGGAGGCCGCAGGACUGGAGUUACUGUAAAAGACGUGAACCAGCAGGAGUUCGUCAGAGCUCUGGCAGCCUUCCUCAAAAAGUCUGGGAAGCUGAAAGUCCCCAAAUUGGUGGACACAGUCAAGCUGGCCAAGCAUAAGCAGCUUACUCCCUACCUUGAGAACUGGUUCUACACACAAGCUACUUCCACAGCACAGGACCUGUACCUCCGGGGCAGUGCUGGGGUUGGCUCAUGACCAAGAUCUACGGGGGACGUUGGAGAAACAGCAUCGUGCCCAGCCACUUCAGCUGAGGCUCCAAGAAUGUGGCCCGUGGGGUCCUCCAAGCCCUGGAGGGGCUGAAAAUCGUGGAAAAGGACCAAGAUGGAGGCCACAAACUGACACCUCAGGGACAGAGAGAUCUAGACUGAAUCGCCAGACGGGUGGCAGCUACCAACAAGAAGCAUUACAACAAAUGAUGCUGAGUUAAU
Molecule: RNA transcript, 497 nt
Organism: Nycticebus coucang (slow loris)
Lineage: Eukaryota; Metazoa; Chordata; Mammalia; Primates; Lorisidae
Exons: 2
Source: RefSeq, a predicted model, not a curated record